AGCAGCCGCGGUAAUUCCAGCUACAAUAGCGUAUAUUAAAGUUGUUGCAGUUAAAAAGCUCGUAGUUGAAUUUCGGGGUUUGUCCAUCGGUCGGGCUUUAUUGUCCGUACUGGUGUGAUGAAUUCAUACAUUAUGAAUAACCUUCAUGUCAUUUAUUUGGUGUGUUGGAGAAGCAGAGCUGUUACAUUGAAAAAAUUAGAGUGCUUAAAGCAGGCAAGUGCCUGAAUACAUUAGCAUGGAAUAAUGAAAUAGGACGGCAUGGUUCUAUUUUGUUGGUUUCUAGGAUCACCGUAAUGAUUAAUAGGGAUAGUUGGGGGCAUUAGUAUUCAAUUGUCAGAGGUGAAAUUCUUGGAUUUAUUGAAGACUAACUUCUGCGAGAGCAUUUGCCAAGGAUGUUUUCAUUAAUCAAGAACGAAAGUUAGGGGAUCGAAGACGAUAAGAUACAGUCGUAGUCUUAACCAUAAACUAUGCCGACUAGGGAUCGGACGAUGUUAAUUUUUUAAUGACUAG
RNAcentral lists this ribosomal RNA (510 nucleotides) under Acaulospora sp. TH40. RNAcentral describes it as "SSU rRNA". It matches the Rfam family "Eukaryotic small subunit ribosomal RNA", at positions 569 to 1078 of the family's 1831-position model. The record is from RNAcentral. Lineage: Eukaryota; Fungi; Glomeromycota; Glomeromycetes; Diversisporales; Acaulosporaceae.